GCUCCCUGAGACCCUUUGAUUGCCUUGUUAUUACAAUACUGUACAUAACAUGAUCAGGCAGCCAAAGUGACUCAGGUAUGCA
This 82-nucleotide microRNA precursor is filed under the name Schistosoma mansoni. Its description in RNAcentral is "microRNA sma-mir-125a precursor". Its record names the gene sma-mir-125a. It matches the Rfam family "mir-125 microRNA precursor family". The record is from miRBase by way of RNAcentral. Lineage: Eukaryota; Metazoa; Platyhelminthes; Trematoda; Strigeidida; Schistosomatidae.